This 613-nucleotide long non-coding RNA is filed under the name Marmota monax (woodchuck). Lineage: Eukaryota; Metazoa; Chordata; Mammalia; Rodentia; Sciuridae. The record is from RNAcentral.
ACCCCCACCCCCACCCCCGUACUGGGGAUUGAAUCCUGGGGUGCUCUGAGUUACAUCUCCACUUUUUUACACUCAUAUUAGUUGGAACUUAGGGAGCAUUACAGUAGAGUGACAUAACAAACACCUCAUCCCAAUUAUGGUUUCUUAUGUUUCCAAAUAUCAAAUUGCUUUCCCUGAUCUGUCUCAGACAUGCAUUGUGAACUUUUUCUAGUACUGAAAAUUGAACGCAAGGUCUUGCACAUGCUAUGCAAGUGCUUUACCACUGAGCUACAUCCCCAGCCCACAAACUUUUUUCCCUUUAAAAAAAAAAAUGGCAAAAUUCAUAUGCCCUGCCUGUAAAGUGGUUUACUGCGGUUAACCAAAAAGUUCUUGCCAACUAAUACUCUUGUCAGGAAAACAGAUACUUUCAAAGCACGAUUGUCCUUCCCUUAUGACCUGAGCAAGGCCUUACAAUAGGGUGGAAACACCAAGAUAUGGGGAGGCUCAGUGAGUCCCAGACUUGCCCCAGCAGCAGGAUCAUGGCUUUAGACAAGUGGUGUGCUCAGGUGGGGUAUUCCAGUCAGAGUGCUCAUUUGUUCUUGAGCCCCAUGCUGGAAUGAAAAGACAUGAAUUC